RNAcentral lists this ribosomal RNA (1505 nucleotides) under metagenome. RNAcentral's name for it is "bacterial SSU rRNA". It matches the Rfam family "Bacterial small subunit ribosomal RNA". The record is from RNAcentral.
AGAGUUUGAUCAUGGCUCAGGACGAACGCUGGCGGCGUGCCUAAUACAUGCAAGUAGAACGCUGAAGAGAGGAGCUUGCUCUUCUUGGAUGAGUUGCGAACGGGUGAGUAACGCGUAGGUAACCUGCCUUGUAGCGGGGGAUAACUAUUGGAAACGAUAGCUAAUACCGCAUAACAAUGGAUGACCCAUGUCAUUUAUUUGAAAGGGGCAAAUGCUCCACUACAAGAUGGACCUGCGUUGUAUUAGCUAGUAGGUGAGGUAACGGCUCACCUAGGCGACGAUACAUAGCCGACCUGAGAGGGUGAUCGGCCACACUGGGACUGAGACACGGCCCAGACUCCUACGGGAGGCAGCAGUAGGGAAUCUUCGGCAAUGGGGGCAACCCUGACCGAGCAACGCCGCGUGAGUGAAGAAGGUUUUCGGAUCGUAAAGCUCUGUUGUAAGUCAAGAACGAGUGUGAGAGUGGAAAGUUCACACUGUGACGGUAGCUUACCAGAAAGGGACGGCUAACUACGUGCCAGCAGCCGCGGUAAUACGUAGGUCCCGAGCGUUGUCCGGAUUUAUUGGGCGUAAAGCGAGCGCAGGCGGUUUGAUAAGUCUGAAGUUAAAGGCUGUGGCUCAACCAUAGUUCGCUUUGGAAACUGUCAAACUUGAGUGCAGAAGGGGAGAGUGGAAUUCCAUGUGUAGCGGUGAAAUGCGUAGAUAUAUGGAGGAACACCGGUGGCGAAAGCGGCUCUCUGGUCUGUAACUGACGCUGAGGCUCGAAAGCGUGGGGAGCGAACAGGAUUAGAUACCCUGGUAGUCCACGCCGUAAACGAUGAGUGCUAGGUGUUGGAUCCUUUCCGGGAUUAAGUGCCGCAGCUAACGCAUUAAGCACUCCGCCUGGGGAGUACGACCGCAAGGUUGAAACUCAAAGGAAUUGACGGGGGCCCGCACAAGCGGUGGAGCAUGUGGUUUAAUUCGAAGCAACGCGAAGAACCUUGCCAGGUCUUGACAUCCCGAUGCUAUUUCUAGAGAUAGAAAGUUACUUCGGUACAUCGGUGACAGGUGGUGCAUGGUUGUCGUCAGCUCGUGUCGUGAGAUGUUGGGUUAAGUCCCGCAACGAGCGCAACCCCUAUUGUUAGUUGCCAUCAUUCAGUUGGGCACUCUAGCGAGACUGCCGGUAAUAAACCGGAGGAAGGUGGGGAUGACGUCAAAUCAUCAUGCCCCUUAUGACCUGGGCUACACACGUGCUACAAUGGUUGGUACAACGAGUUGCGAGUCGGUGACGGCAAGCUAAUCUCUUAAAGCCAAUCUCAGUUCGGAUUGUAGGCUGCAACUCGCCUACAUGAAGUCGGAAUCGCUAGUAAUCGCGGAUCAGCACGCCGCGGUGAAUACGUUCCCGGGCCUUGUACACACCGCCCGUCACACCACGAGAGUUUGUAACACCCGAAGUCGGUGAGGUAACCUUUUGGAGCCAGCCGCCUAAGGUGGGAUAGAUGAUUGGGGUGAAGUCGUACAAGGUA